GUGAGGAAUUUUCCGCAAUGGGCGAAAGCCUGACGGAGCAAUGCCGCGUGAAGGAUGAAGGCCUAUGGGUUGUAAACUUCUUUUCUCAGAAAAGAAUUAUGACGGUAUCUGAGGAAUAAGCAUCGGCUAACUCUGUGCCAGCAGCCGCGGUAAGACAGAGGAUGCAAGCGUUAUCCGGAAUGAUUGGGCGUAAAGCGUCUGUAGGUUGUUUAAAAAGUAUUCUGUCAAAGAUUAGGGCUUAACCCUAGAUAGGCAGAAUAAACUUUUAAGCUAGAGUUUGGUAGAGGUAGAGGGAAUUCCCGGUGGAGCGGUGAAAUGCGUAGAUAUCGGGAGGAACACCAAAGGCGAAGGCACUCUGCUGGGCCAAUACUAACACUGAGAGACGAAAGCGAGGGGAGCAAAUGGGAUUAGAAACCCGUGUAGUCC
RNAcentral lists this ribosomal RNA (426 nucleotides) under uncultured bacterium. RNAcentral describes it as "partial 16S ribosomal RNA". It matches the Rfam family "Bacterial small subunit ribosomal RNA", at positions 354 to 796 of the family's 1533-position model. The record is from RNAcentral.